Diospyros lotus (date-plum) is the source of this 967-nucleotide long non-coding RNA. RefSeq lists it as uncharacterized. NCBI's taxonomy places the organism in Eukaryota, Viridiplantae, Streptophyta, Magnoliopsida, Ericales, Ebenaceae. The transcript has 5 exons. The record is from RefSeq and is a predicted model, not a curated record.
CUAUAUAUAUAUAUAUAUAUCUGUGAACUCACUGCCGCCUUCUCCACCUCCGGCCCUUGUUGCUGCCAUUGCCUCCGUUCGUUGCCGCUGCCUCCGCCUCCUUUCAUCGCCCCUGCCACAGCCUACGUUCGUCGCUGCUACGUCUGCCCCUGGCUUCGCCGCUGCCACAACCUCCAUUCUCUGUCGCCGCUGCCUCUGCCUCCUUUCGUCGCCCCUGCCACCACCUUCGCCCGUCGUAGCUGCCUCCGCCUCCUGUCGUCUUCGCUGCCACUGCCUCCGUUCUCCGUCGCCGCCUCUGCCUCCGGUUUUGUCCCAAGGCAGAGCUGCAGUUAGUUUCUAGCUUUGCUUCCCGGUCUCUAGCCUAACAUUUUAUAUGAAGCAUGGGUGAUUUAGAAUUUCUUAUCAUUGUGCUUGGCUUGGGUGGGUGGCCCAAGACCCAUUGUAUUAAGUUUAAGCGGGUGGAUUCUGAAGCCAAACUGGUGUUUGAUGACGUGUUGCUUUCCUCCCAUUCCAUUGGAUGGGCGGUUUAUUCAGAGAUGCAAGCAAGGAUGUUUGCAGUUUGUAAUACUCAAGCCCAUUUUAGUAGCAGUCACGUUAAUACUUUAUGCCAAAGGGAAAUAUCAAUGUGGAAAUUUCCGUCCAGACCAGUCAUAUCUUUAUCUGACUAUCAUCUAUACCAUAUCAUAUUCAUUGGCCCUCUAUGCACUAGCCUUAUUUUAUGUAGCUUGCAGAGAUUUGCUUCAGCCAUUCAAUCCAGUUCCAAAGUUCAUAAUAAUCAAGUUCGUUGCUUUCCAGACCUAUUGGCAGUAAGGGAAGGCUGUAGUCAACGGCAAGUCCAAUGGAGCUAGAAGCUAGAGACCAUGGAUAGAAUGUGUACAGAGACAUCCUAGCUAAAAGAUCUUUGGGGAGUUGUUUUGAGGAAAUGUGAAAAGAGUUUAUUUUGUAGUUAAAAUUUCAUUGUCCUUUU